GGAGCUGUGGUUCAGUGGUAGAACAGUUGUUUGGCAUGCAGAAGGUUCAAAGUUCAAUCCCUCAUAACUCCA
Molecule: transfer RNA, 72 nt
Filed under: Sphaerodactylus townsendi
Lineage: Eukaryota; Metazoa; Chordata; Lepidosauria; Squamata; Sphaerodactylidae
Description: tRNA-Ala
Rfam family: tRNA
About the family: Transfer RNA (tRNA) molecules are approximately 80 nucleotides in length. Their secondary structure includes four short double-helical elements and three loops (D, anti-codon, and T loops). Further hydrogen bonds mediate the characteristic L-shaped molecular structure. tRNAs have two regions of fundamental functional importance: the anti-codon, which is responsible for specific mRNA codon recognition, and the 3' end, to which the tRNAs corresponding amino acid is attached (by aminoacyl-tRNA synthetases). tRNAs cope with the degeneracy of the genetic code in two manners: having more than one tRNA (with a specific anti-codon) for a particular amino acid; and 'wobble' base-pairing, i.e. permitting non-standard base-pairing at the 3rd anti-codon position.
Source: RNAcentral